Molecule: small RNA, 152 nt
Filed under: Drosophila yakuba
Lineage: Eukaryota; Metazoa; Arthropoda; Insecta; Diptera; Drosophilidae
Description: GE28187
Source: RNAcentral
GCAUCAGUUACAGAAAUCCGUAGAGACACUACAGAUGCGGAGCCACGCCCAUUAUCGUCGGUGGCCUAAAGAGUUAAUGAAACUUAACGACAUAAUUGAUGUGCAACGAACUGCAAGGAUUUUUUGAAGAAUUGUUACUUUGAAAAGGUAAA